UACGAAGGGGGCUAGCGUUGUUCGGAAUUACUGGGCGUAAAGCGCGCGCAGGCGGUCCUUCAAGUCAGAGGUGAAAGCCCAGAGCUCAACUCUGGAACGGCCUUUGAGACUAGAGGACUUGGGUACGGGAGAGGUGAGUGGAAUUCCGGGUGUAGUGGUGAAAUGCGUAGAUAUCGGGAGGAACACCAGUGGCGAAGGCGACUACCUGGCCUGUUCUUGACGCUGAGGCGCGAAAGCUAGGGGAGCAAACGGG
Molecule: ribosomal RNA, 253 nt
Filed under: uncultured bacterium
Lineage: Bacteria
Description: partial 16S ribosomal RNA
Rfam family: Bacterial small subunit ribosomal RNA
Source: RNAcentral